RNAcentral lists this unclassified non-coding RNA (300 nucleotides) under uncultured Preussia. RNAcentral describes it as "sequence contains ITS1". The stretch from base 1 to 105 matches the Rfam family "5.8S ribosomal RNA", at positions 50 to 154 of the family's 154-position model. The record is from RNAcentral. Lineage: Eukaryota; Fungi; Ascomycota; Dothideomycetes; Pleosporales; Sporormiaceae.
GAAAUGCGAUAAGUAGUGUAAAUUGCAGAAUUCAGUAAAUCAUCGAAUCUUUAAACGCACAUUGCGCCCUAUAGUAUUCCGUAGGGCAUGCCUGUUCAAGCGUCAUUCAAACCUUCAAGCUCUGCUUGGUGUUAGGCGUCUGUCCUGCCUCACGGCGCGGACUCGCCUCAAAUCUAUUAGCGGCCAGCACGUUGGCUUCGAGCGCAGCAGAAACGCGAACUCGAGCCCGACGGAUCGGCUCCCAGAAGCUACCCCCAUGAAUUUAACCUCAGAUCAGGUAGGGAUACCCGCUGAACUUAA